Molecule: ribosomal RNA, 432 nt
Filed under: uncultured bacterium
Lineage: Bacteria
Description: partial 16S ribosomal RNA
Rfam family: Bacterial small subunit ribosomal RNA
Source: RNAcentral
AACGAACGCUGGCGGCAUGCCUAACACAUGCAAGUCGAACGAGACCUUCGGGUCUAGUGGCGCACGGGUGCGUAACGCGUGGGAACCUGCCCUUAGGUUCGGAAUAACUCCCCGAAAGGGGUGCUAAUACCGGAUAAUGUCUUCGGACCAAAGAUUUAUCGCCUUUGGAUGGGCCCGCGUUGGAUUAGCUAGUUGGUAGGGUAAAAGCCUACCAAGGCGACUAUCCAUAGCUGGUCUGAGAGGAUGAUCAGCCACACUGGGACUGGGACACGGCCCAGACCGGACGGAGAGGCGGAGAGGGGGAAAAAAGGGGAGGGGGCGAGAGCCAGCACCGGCCCGGCCGGGAGAGUGUUGAAGGGGUUGGGGUUAAAAGUCUCUUUUGCCGGGGAGGGAGUGACGGUAACGGGGAAAAAAGCCCCGGCUAACCACGUG